UUGGCACGCUCUCUAAAUAUAAUAUUUAUUUCUAGUCAUGCCAUCUUAAAAUAUGUAGAGGAAAUAGAAGAAGCCCAAAGUUAGGCAGCAGAAAGGAGCAGCGACAAGGAGCAACCUCCAUAUUAAGUGAGAUUUAAAAGAUGAGAAGUGUUCAGUUGGAAGAGGGAAUUAAUAAGUGGGGACAUGAUAGAGAUAUAAAAUAAUUAAUGGUAUGGAGAAGGUCAAUUGAAUGCUCCUAUUUACUCUUCCCCAUAAUGUAAGAACAAAGUGACAUCCAUUAAAUUGAAAAGAAACAAAUUUAAAACUGAUAAAAAGAAAUACUUUUUUACACAAUGCAUAAUUAGCCUGUUGAACUCGCUGCAACAAGCUAUCAUUAUGCCCAAGAGCUUAGUAGGAUUCAAAAAGGAUUAUACACUUAUUUGGAUAAUGAGAGCACCCAGGGAUACCUUAGAUAGGAUAAAAAUGGUUGGGGGUGGAGAUGUAUGAACCCUCAUGCUUCAGGGCAUAAACCAAUCAUUAGCUGUCUGGGAUUAGGAAGAAACUUCCCCUAUGAGCAAAUUAUUCAAUAAUUGUCCAUUAUGAGUUUUCUUGCAAAUUCCACUGAAGCAUCUGGUGCUGGCCACUCACUGUAGAGACAGAACACUGGACCGCUGAUACGAUCCAGUGUGGAAUUUCCAUUUCCCAGAUUGCCAUGUGUGUUUGCCAUGGGUCUGGGAAAGCCAUGUCUGCAACAAAAGGGAUUGUUCCCUCUGUUCUGUGACCUCCCUGCUGCCUGGCAAUUACUGUGCAGUUACUUAUGUAUUUAUUUGUGACAGAGGCCAGGAUCAAGUUCCAUCUUUGGGAGAGGACAGCUUUUCCAUUUGAAAUGCAUCACGCCCGGCUUGCGUGGAGCUGUCUGACGCCAACAUAAUGGGGACAUUUGGGAUGUGGAAUAACCAAGCUGCCAUUCAUCAAGCUUGAAUGUCAGAGGAAUGGUGCAAAGCUCCCUGCUUUCGGACUUCAGUCCAGAGUCAGCUUGGAUACGGUGCAGCUCUGUAACCUGCUAGGAAAGCAGCUCAGCUGGGAGAAAAAGCUACAAGACACCACAGAGGGGUUGAGAACUGCUCAGGACAGUAAUAGUGAUAUUUGCUUGGUUAACAGUGGUAAGUGGCAAAGCUGGGAUCAAGGUUAAACAAGUGAAACCUCACUUGCAAUGUUCAUACCAUUGGCAGUAAUUUAUUGGCAAAGGUUUUACCUGGGACAGUAACAAAUCCCAGACUGAUGGUUGCUCUCCUACAACGAAAUCUAGUAGCAGUACUGAUUCCAUUUGAAGGCUGUACUUCAAGAUUGCAGUUCCCUGACAGAGAACUGAGGAUUUGAUUGAUUUACAUGACAGUGUUUUAACUGAGAACACCAUAAAAUAAUUCAAAACCAGUUUGACAUCUUGGAAGACAACCUUAUAUUAAGAAACGUCAAGAUUGUAGAGCACAGAAAGAGAAGCCCAUGAUAUAUUUUUUCUAU
RNAcentral lists this long non-coding RNA (1500 nucleotides) under Cyanistes caeruleus (blue tit). RNAcentral's name for it is "lncRNA (ENSCCEG00000010710.1)". The record is from RNAcentral. Lineage: Eukaryota; Metazoa; Chordata; Aves; Passeriformes; Paridae.